UGUGAGAUAGCUGCUUCAGCUGCUUUGGCUGUUUUCCCG
This 39-nucleotide non-coding RNA is filed under the name Plasmodium falciparum 3D7. The record is from RNAcentral. Lineage: Eukaryota; Apicomplexa; Aconoidasida; Haemosporida; Plasmodiidae.